Molecule: long non-coding RNA, 740 nt
Organism: Daphnia pulex (common water flea)
Lineage: Eukaryota; Metazoa; Arthropoda; Branchiopoda; Diplostraca; Daphniidae
Exons: 4
Source: RefSeq, a predicted model, not a curated record
ACCACGUCAAAUCACAAAUGCCUUACUAAAUUCAGCACCAUUCACCCAUAUGAUAAAGUAUCAGAAAAUUUACCUCAACCUAAGGAGUAAGGCUGUUGGUUGCUGUGAUUUCCAUUUUUGUGGUUUUUUAUCAUGAAAAUCUUCAGUAUGCUUCUUAGUAUAGAGCACGUAAUAGAUCCUUAAGCCAAUGCUGACCUUUGUCCAUGAAGGAAGAGGGACAUCCAGCAACGUUCUGCUCCAUCCUUAUCUUCCCGACGUACGCUCAUCUAGCUUCACUGCUUUUGCUGCUACAAUUUGUUUUACUUCACCGGCGAGUUGGAACACUGUAGUAGUCGCUACCCUUUGCUGUUACACACCUGCAGUUACCUACCACGGGAUUAUGCCCAGGUAAUGCAGAAGAGACGUCGAGAAGAUGGACAUCAAAACAUCGCCGGUAUAUCCAAAACGUCAGCGUGGAUCAUCAUUUGUUGUUGGUAAUAUGUUUGUGUUUGUGUAAGUUAACCCGUUGUCUGCCACGCCUUUGUUCUCCCCUAGCUCCUUUGCACGGGCUGCGUGCGCUGUUCGGUCUCGUGGUUUUCAUGCCGCGGGAUCGGAAAGUCGUACCAGCCCAAAACUUGCCGCAAGGCGCCUGUUAAGGCAAUGCACUAUAGGGACUUCCCCCUUGUCGAUGCGGUGAUGGAUUCUCCUGUCACCGUGUCAGCCCGGACUUGUCAGCAAUGGCAAGUCCCACUUUGGUCACG